AUACGGACUCUGCCGGUAGGAGGGAGAGAGAAGUAAUGCAGCCGUGAAAACAAAUUGUCUCCGCGAGACAACUCCAAGUUCAUUUUUCUGCUGAUAGUUGCUAAACAUGACAGAUUUAAAGAGUACAACACAGUCAAGUUCUGUCCUGCAUUGGAGUAUGUUGCUUCAAAUUACUGUUCAACUUGGACAUAAGAUGGAAAUCUAGACAAGGUGAAGGACUUACAAAUCACCACAAGCAUUCCUCUGAACUUCCAAAUCCAGUGAAGAGGUGAAGCAAGGGCGAGUGUCUCUCCUCCAUCUGGGCUCUCCACUAUCCCAUUAGUUGGCCUAGGUAAUGAAGGAACCAAAAUGCUGCCCCUGCCCCUUAAGUCCUUUCCUGAGCUCUCAGUGACACCUUCAGAUUCUUUUCAUUUGAAUCAAGUGUAUUUUUAUGAAUAAGAGAAAAGGCUAAAAGACCAUUAGUUCUAAAAUCAUGGUGUGGAGAAGCUGCCAUUUUCUAACUAUUUUUUUA
RNAcentral lists this long non-coding RNA (511 nucleotides) under Mus spicilegus (steppe mouse). RNAcentral's name for it is "lncRNA (ENSMSIG00000001017.1)". Lineage: Eukaryota; Metazoa; Chordata; Mammalia; Rodentia; Muridae. The record is from RNAcentral.